GGGUCUGUAGCUCAGGGGUUAGAGCAGAGGACUCAUAAUCCUUUGGUCGCUGGUUCGAGACCAGCCAGACCCA
Molecule: transfer RNA, 73 nt
Filed under: Eikenella corrodens CC92I
Lineage: Bacteria; Pseudomonadati; Pseudomonadota; Betaproteobacteria; Neisseriales; Neisseriaceae
Rfam family: tRNA
About the family: Transfer RNA (tRNA) molecules are approximately 80 nucleotides in length. Their secondary structure includes four short double-helical elements and three loops (D, anti-codon, and T loops).
Source: Rfam by way of RNAcentral